CAAUAGCGUAUAUUAAAGUUGUUGCAGUUAAAAAGCUCGUAGUUGGAUUUGUGGCGUACGGUGGGUUCCGGGCACUUGUUGUCUGAGUAACUUGCUGUUGCCAUCCUUGGGUGGAACCUGUGUGGCAUUAGGUUGUCGUGCAGGGGAUGCCCAUCAUUUACUGUGAAAAAAUUAGAGUGUUCAAAGCAGGCUUAUGCCGUUGAAUAUAUUAGCAUGGAAUAAUGAGAUAGGACUUUUUUGCUAUUUUGUUGGUUUGCGCAAAGGGGUAAUGAUUAAUAGGGACAGUUGGGGGUAUUCGUAUUCCAUUGUCAGAGGUGAAAUUCUUGGAUUUUUGGAAGACGAACUACUGCGAAAGCAUUUACCAAGGACGUUUUCAUUAA
RNAcentral lists this ribosomal RNA (380 nucleotides) under uncultured eukaryote. Its description in RNAcentral is "partial 18S ribosomal RNA". It matches the Rfam family "Eukaryotic small subunit ribosomal RNA", at positions 592 to 976 of the family's 1831-position model. The record is from RNAcentral.